Molecule: long non-coding RNA, 223 nt
Organism: Peromyscus leucopus (white-footed mouse)
Lineage: Eukaryota; Metazoa; Chordata; Mammalia; Rodentia; Cricetidae
Exons: 2
Source: RefSeq, a predicted model, not a curated record
AGAACGUAAACCUAUUAGAAUCCAAGUCCUCAGGAAGAGAUUACUUCCAAAGCAUUCCAAGGACAAUACAAAUUCUACUGGGGGAACAGAGGAAGAAUCAUCAGUUUUAGAGCACUGUGCCCGAGCUUCAUCAAUAAUGGGUUUGGUGUUGUUAACUGGAGAAUUAACCCAAAUUUCUUAAAGCAGAUAUUACCUUUAAAGAAGAAAGUAAAGAUUAUAAGAU